This 21-nucleotide small RNA is filed under the name Arabidopsis thaliana (thale cress). Its description in RNAcentral is "ATSL248760". The record is from RNAcentral. Lineage: Eukaryota; Viridiplantae; Streptophyta; Magnoliopsida; Brassicales; Brassicaceae.
UCGGAAAAAGAAGAAGGAUUU